GACGAACGCUGGCGGCGUGCUUAACACAUGCAAGUCAAGGACCGUAGCAAUACGGGACUGGCGCACGGGUGCGGAACACGUAGGCCAAUCUGCCCUUCAGGGGAGAACAACCAGCCGAAAGGUUGGCUAAAUCUCCGUAAAAUCAUAGAGUGGCAUCACUUAUUGAUCAAGUUUUCUGAAGGAUGAGCCUGCGUCUGAUUAGCUAGUUGGCGGGUAACGCCACCAAGGCUACGAUCAGUAGCUGGUCUGAGAGGAUGAUCAGCCACAGUUGGGACUGAGAUACGGCCAGACUCCUACGGGAGCAGCAGUGA
This 311-nucleotide ribosomal RNA is filed under the name uncultured bacterium. Its description in RNAcentral is "bacterial SSU rRNA". It matches the Rfam family "Bacterial small subunit ribosomal RNA", at positions 28 to 357 of the family's 1533-position model. The record is from RNAcentral.